GUGAAUCAUCGAAUUUUUGAACGCAAAUUGCGCCUUCUUUCGGGAGGCAUGUCUGUUUGAGGGCACCAUUUAACAAAUAAUGUGCGUGUCUCUAUGCUGCCUCCACACGGUGAGGAGCAUUUCCGAAAAACUAGGGUUUUUUGGGGGUGCAUAAUGAACAGCUUUGCGUUUUUUUUUCGUUUCUCGUGUAUUUAGUAUAUUUUCCUGGCUUGGUUU
Molecule: unclassified non-coding RNA, 216 nt
Filed under: Paraglomus sp.
Lineage: Eukaryota; Fungi; Glomeromycota; Glomeromycetes; Paraglomerales; Paraglomeraceae
Description: partial contains 5.8S ribosomal RNA and internal transcribed spacer 2
Rfam family: 5.8S ribosomal RNA (bases 1-66)
Source: RNAcentral